GAUUACGUGGAAGAGCUUAACUAAAGUGAACUAAUUAAUACUAUAUUUUUUUGCUAUUUAUCGCAUCCUUAUACCUACGGGUGGAAUUAUAUUUAGAGCUUAAACCUAGACUUACAAUUAGUGAGCAAUAACUUAAAACUAGGUUAAAAUAGAUACGAGGCGCGUUUGGUUAAUUAAUUUACCGCAAACUAGUGCUAUUAGAAGGAAACAGUUGUUCGGAACAGACCGUGUUGCCAGUUUA
Molecule: long non-coding RNA, 241 nt
Organism: Topomyia yanbarensis
Lineage: Eukaryota; Metazoa; Arthropoda; Insecta; Diptera; Culicidae
Exons: 3
Source: RefSeq, a predicted model, not a curated record